Molecule: ribosomal RNA, 428 nt
Filed under: uncultured archaeon
Lineage: Archaea
Description: bacterial SSU rRNA
Rfam family: Archaeal small subunit ribosomal RNA
Source: RNAcentral
UACCUGCAGCUCAAGUGGUGGCCGCUAUUACUGGGCCUAAAACGUUCGUAGCCGGUUUAAUAAAUGCCUGGGUAAAUCGUGUAGCUUAACUAUACGAAUUCCGGGUAGACUGAUAGACUUGAGACCGGGAGAAGCUAGAGGUACUCCUGGGGUAGAGGUGAAAUUCUGUAAUCCUGGGGGGACCACCAGUGGCGAAGGCGUCUAGCUAGAACGGGUCUGACGGUGAGGAACGAAGCCCUGGGGCGCAAACCGGAUUAGAUACCCGGGUAGUCCAGGGUGUAAACGCUGCUUGCUUUAUGUUAGUUGGGCUCCGAGCCCAAUUAGUGUCGGAGAGAAGUUGUUAAGCAAGCUGCCUGGGAAGUACGAUCGCAAGAUUGAAACUUAAAGGAAUUGGCGGGGAGCACAGCAACGGGUGGAGCGUGCGGUUU